Molecule: unclassified non-coding RNA, 331 nt
Filed under: soil metagenome
Description: partial contains 5.8S ribosomal RNA, internal transcribed spacer 2, and large subunit ribosomal RNA
Rfam family: 5.8S ribosomal RNA (bases 1-120)
Source: RNAcentral
GAUGAAGAACGCAGCGAAAUGCGAUACGUAAUGUGAAUUGCAGAAUUCAGUGAAUCAUCGAAUCUUUGAACGCACAUUGCGCCCCCUGGUAUUCCGGGGGGCAUGCCUGUUUGAGCGUCAUUUCACCACUCAAGCCUCGCUUGGUAUUGGGCAACGCGGUCCGCCGCGUGCCUCAAAUCGACCGGCUGGGUCUUCUGUCCCCUAAGCGUUGUGGAAACUAUUCGCUAAAGGGUGUUCGGGAGGCUACGCCGUAAAACAACCCCAUUUCUAAGGUUGACCUCGGAUCAGGUAGGGAUACCCGCUGAACUUAAGCAUAUCAAUAAGCGGAGGA